CCAUGAACACAAGCCAUGUACAGCCCAUUAAGCUGGCCAGUGAUACCAAGGUUCUGGGCAGGACUGACUAGCAGGGACAGUACACACAGGUGCAUGUGGAAUUCAUGGACUUCCUGAGCUACUCCAUAAUCAAGAACAUAAAAGGCCACAGCUGGGAGGGAGAUGUGCUCACCCUAUUGGGGGUCAGAGCUAGAGGCUUGCAGGCUAC
This 208-nucleotide long non-coding RNA is filed under the name Homo sapiens (human). RNAcentral's name for it is "non-protein coding lnc-DGKH-3:1". Lineage: Eukaryota; Metazoa; Chordata; Mammalia; Primates; Hominidae. The record is from RNAcentral.